CUUCCAUCCCCGUAUUUCUGUCAGCCAUCUUUGCUGAAGAAAGUAUCCAGUUUGGGUCGCAUAGCCUCUAAUUCGCCAUGGGAACCACUCGAUAUGAUUGGUCAUUGUCACGCCUUGGUCUUAGUAUUUUCGUUAUUUAUUUGGUCAGGCCAGGGGCCUGUUGCACAAAAGUAGAAUUAAGACAUCCGGGAUAAAUGACUCAGCUGAGCUCAAUGAAGCCAAAACAUGUGCGUCCAGGCUUAAUUGGUUGCACAAAGACCAAGCCAGGAUGAGCAGACACGGAUUCAUUAAACCAGGUGAAACCAAUCCUGGAUAGGUGCGCGCUCACGGCUCACUCAAAUAGACCCCGCCACAGAUCACAGAUUAACUGAUUUACCAUGCUAGAGCCGCGUACUUUUCCCCGUCGGAAGCACAAAUCCUCAUGGAGGCAUACGAGGAGGUAAAAUAUAUAAUUAAGAAGAAAGGUAACACCGCCACAGUGAUAAAGCAAAGAGAAAAAGCGUGGCAAAGUAUUGCAGACCGCCUGAAUGCAUUAAACAUGAACGGGCCAAAACGGACAUGGCAGCAGGUCAAAAUCAAAUACAAGAACAUUCUGCAGAAUGCAGUGAAAAAGAAUACCCACAGACAAGGCACGGGUGGUGGGUCACCAAAGGCUGACCUUACCCCAGCAGAGGACAUGGCCUUGGAGCUAAAUAAAGGCAGGCCCGUCUUAGAGGGGAUCCCUGGGGGGAAAGAGACGAGCAUAGGUUCCUCCCAAGAUGCCACCCGCUUCAUUCAAGUGUCUGGCAGCACUGUGUUCCUGUUAGAGCCACCAGCACAAGCACCAGACGAUGCUGAUCCAGGUGAAGGCCCCAGUGCAACAGCACAUGAUGGAGACUAUGAUGAUGAGGAGGAGACCAUCUCUCUGGAUUCCAGAAGGCAUGAGGACCCAGAUGCUAUACAGUGGGAAAACCAGCCUGGCAACAUAAGCUCACAAGCUAUCAGAAAGUUGUAUGGCAACCACCUCCGGCGCCAAAUAGAACUGGCAGACAUAGACAUUCAGUACAAGAAGAAAAAGAUGGAAAAUCUUGCACUGGAGUCCGAAAUAAAAAAGAGGACAAUUAGGAAACUGGACCUUGAAAUAAAAAAACUUGAGAGGGAGCUCCAAGAAGAUGACACAGCUCAAAAUAAAAAUUAGCACCAGGUGUGGCCACUAGCCUAUAUGAAGGCCCAAAAUUGUGUGUUCCUUUCUGCUCUGACAAUGGCAUGCCCAUUCGUGCGAGAUGUGGUGGAUGAAGAAGCACUUGUGCUGAGGAGAGCCUUCAGGCGAGAAAGGGUCUUCAGGGACCGGUUGGACCCACUGGCCUUCCCUGACGACCAUCUAUAUGAAAGAUACAGGUUUUCUGCAGAUGGCAUCAGGUAUCUAUGCAGACUACUGGGUCCCAGGAUUAAGCACCGCACUGCACGGAGCCAUGCACUGAGUGUGGAGCAAAUGGUUUGUGUGGCCUUGCGCUUUUUUGCUAGUGGAGCCUUCCUGUACUCAGUGGGGGAUGCUGAACAAGGCCACAAUUUGCUGCACAAUAAGGAGUGUGUCUGGCUAUCAAAGCAUUAGCAGAUGUCUUCAUCUCCUUCCCUGGCCACAGAAGACUCUGUGACAUCAAAGAGGAGUUCUAUAGGAUUGCAGAUGGUCUGCAAUGCUGACUGUGUGAUCAGCAAUGUUGUGGCAAAAUGGCCUGGCUCAGUCCAUGACUCCAGAAUCUUUCGGGCCUCUGAAAUCUAUCAGUGCCUAUCACA
Molecule: RNA transcript, 1773 nt
Organism: Oncorhynchus keta (chum salmon)
Lineage: Eukaryota; Metazoa; Chordata; Actinopteri; Salmoniformes; Salmonidae
Exons: 10
Source: RefSeq, a predicted model, not a curated record